RNAcentral lists this ribosomal RNA (497 nucleotides) under uncultured bacterium. Its description in RNAcentral is "partial 16S ribosomal RNA". It matches the Rfam family "Bacterial small subunit ribosomal RNA", at positions 28 to 507 of the family's 1533-position model. The record is from RNAcentral.
GACGAACGCUGGCGGCGUGCCUAAUACAUGCAAGUAGAACGCUGAAGAGAGGAGCUUGCUCUUCUUGGAUGAGUUGCGAACGGGUGAGUAACGCGUAGGUAACCUGCCUUGUAGCGGGGGAUAACUAUUGGAAACGAUAGCUAAUACCGCAUAACAAUGGAUGACACAUGUCAUUUAUUUGAAAGGGGCAAUUGCUCCACUACAAGAUGGACCUGCGUUGUAUUAGCUAGUAGGUGAGGUAAUGGCUCACCUAGGCGACGAUACAUAGCCGACCUGAGAGGGUGAUCGGCCACACUGGGACUGAGACACGGCCCAGACUCCUACGGGAGGCAGCAGUAGGGAAUCUUCGGCAAUGGGGGCAACCCUGACCGAGCAACGCCGCGUGAGUGAAGAAGGGUUUCGGAUCGUAAAGCUCUGUUGUAAGUCAAGAACGGGUGUGAGAGUGGAAAGUUCACACUGUGACGGUAGCUUACCAGAAAGAGACGGCUAACUACGUG